UACGUAGGGGGCUAGCGUUAUCCGGAAUUACUGGGCGUAAAGGGUGCGUAGGCGGUCUUUCAAGUCAGGAGUGAAAGGCUACGGCUCAACCGUAGUAAGCUCUUGAAACUGUGAGACUUGAGUGCAGGAGAGGAGAGUGGAAUUCCUAGUGUAGCGGUGAAAUGCGUAGAUAUUAGGAGGAACACCAGUUGCGAAGGCGGCUCUCUGGACUGUAACUGACGCUGAGGCACGAAAGCGUGGGGAGCAAACAGGAUUAGAUACCCUGGUAGUCCACGCCGUAAACGAUGAGUACUAGGUGUCGGGGGUUACCCCCCUCGGUGCCGCAGCUAACGCAUUAAGUACUCCGCCUGGGAAGUACGCUCGCAAGAGUGAA
This 373-nucleotide ribosomal RNA is filed under the name uncultured bacterium. RNAcentral describes it as "bacterial SSU rRNA". It matches the Rfam family "Bacterial small subunit ribosomal RNA", at positions 524 to 898 of the family's 1533-position model. The record is from RNAcentral.